GAUGAACGCUAGCUACAGGCUUAACACAUGCAAGUCGAGGGGUAACGAGAGGGAAUCUUGCUGUCCUUGUCGACGACCGGCGCACGGGUGAGUAACGCGUAUCCAACCUGCCCCCAACUAGGGAAUAACCUUGCGAAAGUAAGACUAAUACCCUAUAAUUUCCUCAGAUGUCAUCUGACGAGGAAUAAAGAUUUAUCGGUUGUGGAUGGGGAAGCGUCUGAUUAGCUUGUUGGCGGAGUAACGGCCCACCAAGGCAACGAUCAGUAGGGGUUCUGAGAGGAAGGUCCCCCACAUUGGAACUGAGACACGGUCCAAACUCCUACGGGAGGCAGCAGUGAGGAAUAUUGGUCAAUGGGCGGAAGCCUGAACCAGCCAAGUAGCGUGCAGGAUGACGGCCCUAUGGGUUGUAAACUGCUUUUAUACAGGAAUAAAGUUAGCCACGUGUGGUUAUUUGUAGGUACUGUAUGAAUAAGGACCGGCUAAUUCCGUGCCAGCCGCCGCGGUAG
Molecule: ribosomal RNA, 506 nt
Filed under: uncultured bacterium
Lineage: Bacteria
Description: partial 16S ribosomal RNA
Rfam family: Bacterial small subunit ribosomal RNA
Source: RNAcentral